Molecule: long non-coding RNA, 763 nt
Organism: Frieseomelitta varia
Lineage: Eukaryota; Metazoa; Arthropoda; Insecta; Hymenoptera; Apidae
Exons: 2
Source: RefSeq, a predicted model, not a curated record
AAAAUACAAAAAAAAAAAAAAAAAAAAAAAGAAAAAAGAAAAAAAAAAAAAAAAAAGAAUCAGCCGGAAGAAGAAAUUUGAACGGAGGAGGACAGCCCACAUUGACGCGAUCGUUUCGCUCGAAUGCUGACGCGGGUCUCAGCCGCGAGCAACGAUCACGAAAUCGCUUCGCCUCGGCUGGCACGAGGCGUAACGACAGCGUCCAACGAUGGACCAUCCUCUGCAAGAGAGACAGAGAGGAGAGCAUCGUCGUCGUUACCAUUGUCGCUUUUCUCCCUUACCUCGCCCCCCUCGUUGUUUGUCGUUCGAUCGGCCACAGAUUGGCGCGUCCCUGACUCGAAUACGGAGGGAACGAAUCUCUUCACCAAGUACCUGUACACUAUCCCGGGUGGACUUUGCCUUCGGCCAGGUCCUCCCCCCCCCCCCCCUCCCCUCUUUAUUAUUGUAAUAUAUAGAACGAGAGAACGAAAACCGACGCGACUCGAGGAAACGCAGGACUAAGUCUCAUCUCGCCUCAGCGAUAGGAUCCUAUCUUGACAUAUCAGUUACACGGUAACAAGCGGCCAAGGCCGUAAUAUUCCGACGAUCCCGGAGGAUCUUCUACGCAGCCAGCUGACCCUCGGUCGAUCCACGAAGAGAUCGAUGCCCCGUUUCUUCGAUCGGAGCAUUCUCGUACUGGCUACAUUCUGGCUGGGUCUUGUCGUACAGGCCCAAUUGGUUAAUUCUAAAGGAGAGGGAGAGAGAGAGAGAGAGAGAGAGAGAG